UAUAACCCUAGGACUUUGGGAGGUGAAGC
Molecule: non-coding RNA, 29 nt
Filed under: Homo sapiens (human)
Lineage: Eukaryota; Metazoa; Chordata; Mammalia; Primates; Hominidae
Source: RNAcentral